UAUCUCUGUAGAGUCUGCAUAUCAAUAAGCGGAGGAAAAGAAACUAACAAGGAUUCCCCUAGUAACGGCGAGUGAAGCGGGAAGAGCUCAAAUUUGAAAUCUUCAAGGUUUGACCUUGACGAAUUGUAGUUUAAAGAAGUGUUUUCGGUUAGAGGAGUAGUAAAAGUUCUUUGGAAUAGGACAUCAUAGAGGGUGAGAAUCCCGUAUUUGACUAUUCUUUCUAGCUUUGUGAUACACUUUCAAAGAGUCGGAUUGUUUGGGAAUGCAGUCCAAAAUGGGUGGUAAAUUUCAUCUAAAGCUAAAUAUUGGCGAGAGACCGAUAGCGAACAAGUACCGUGAGGGAAAGAUGAAAAGAACUUUGAAAAGAGAGUUAAACAGUACGUGAAAUUGUCAAAAGGGAAGCGUUUGACACCAGUGUCGUUUUUCCGAAAAUCAAUUAAAAAUUGAUUCAUGCCAGGUUGUAUUGACCUUAUCAGCUUGCAAUUUGGUUUUGGGUCUCUUUUUGAUGCACUUUUCGGUCAACAAGUCAACAUCAAUUUCCUUUGCUGUAAAAAGGUAAGAGGAAGGUGGCUUCAAUUUCGGUUGAAGUGUUUAUAGCCUUUUAUCUCUGCAGUCGGGGAGAUUGAGGUCUGCAGCGUAGAUCCUUCGGGGCUAGAUACAUUUAUGCUAAGUUAUAGCUUUUCAUAGACAACUUGUUGACUAUGUUUAGUCAUGUAGCUUACUCGUAAGUGCUAUUUUACCUACGCUUAGGAUGUUGAAGACUCUACAGAGAUA
RNAcentral lists this ribosomal RNA (774 nucleotides) under uncultured Neocallimastigales. RNAcentral describes it as "partial large subunit ribosomal RNA". It matches the Rfam family "Eukaryotic large subunit ribosomal RNA", at positions 24 to 634 of the family's 3401-position model. The record is from RNAcentral. Lineage: Eukaryota; Fungi; Neocallimastigomycota; Neocallimastigomycetes; Neocallimastigales.